AACGAACGCUGGCGGCGUGGAUAAGGCAUGCAAGUCGAGCGCGAAAGUUUCCUUCGGGGGAUGAGUAGAGCGGCUAACGGGUGAGUAACACGUGAGUAACUUGCCUCUGGGUGGGGGACAACACCGGGAAACCGGUGCUAAUACCGCAUGAAGUUGCUGGUUCGCAUGGACUGGUAACCAAAGGGGGGGAUCUUCGGACCUCCCGCCUGGAGAGAGGCUCGCGCCUGAUUAGUUAGUUGGUGAGGUAACGGCUCACCAAGACGAUGAUCAGUAGCCGGUCUGAGAGGAUGGCUGGCCACACUGGGAUUGAGAUACGGCCCAGACUCCUACGGGAGGCAGCAGUCUAGAAGCUUCGGCAAUGGGCGAAAGCCUGACCGAGCGACGCCGCGUGCAGGACGAAGGCCUUCGGGUUGUAAACUGCUUUCGACAGGGAUGAACGGUAGGGGUGUGAAUAGCGUUCCUAUUUGACAGUACCUGGAGAAGAAGCCCCGGCUAACUCCGUGCCAGC
This 508-nucleotide ribosomal RNA is filed under the name uncultured bacterium. RNAcentral describes it as "bacterial SSU rRNA". It matches the Rfam family "Bacterial small subunit ribosomal RNA", at positions 29 to 512 of the family's 1533-position model. The record is from RNAcentral.